GAUUCUUAGGAAGACCCUGGCCUCCAUCUUGAAAACGGAAAAUAAAAACAGCAGACCUAUGAAGGUCGAAGGGGAAGAAAAGCUGUAUCGAUUGUUGAGAUCUGGCGACUUGUUUAAAUUUCAUCAGCCUCACUUCUAUGAACUCUCAGAGCUGAUUACCAACUCCUACCACUGUUAACCCUCAUCCAGGAACAAGCUUAUGUCUUUAACAUUCUGAGUGGGCUUCAGCAUCCUUGCAUAUGUUCAAUUCUUAAAAACCUGUUGAAAUAAAAGAUCAGGAGACAUAGGAAGGAUGCCAGAAGAGAGCGUGGCCUCACGUGUACCAGCUCUCUGCUCUCCUUUGCCUUGGGACGUUCCAUCCCUGGAAGUUUCCCUGCCCACAUCUUUGUAGAGAGUCCAUUCUCCAAGCUUCAGUGUGUCAUCUGUGAGGACCGUGACCCACCUGGUACAUCGCCUCAGGGCAUUCAUUUCAGGCUCCUUCUAAAUGGCCAAGGUGUCGACCACAACAACAAAAGUUUCAGGAGACUUACUAUGUGCUCAACAUUGUAUUAGGUAUUAUGGUUGACCCUAAAGAAGCAUCAGCUUGGCUUUGCACCAAAGAAGUUUUUAGUCAAGUUGGAGAGAGAUCACUACUCAAAGAACGCAAGAGACUAAUGGAAGACAGAAUAUAUUGGCAGCAGACUAAAAGGCAGAAUGGUCACACUUCAAAAUGUUUGGUACAAGCUAUGGUGAUGUUAUUGAUCUUCUGAUUUGAUGUUCCUGUGAAGGUUCUAUGACCUAUUUUGAUAUGUAGACAGUGGUAAAAUGCUCAAAGCUCUUUGCUACGAUAUGUAAUAACAAAGGGAACAGUAAAAAAUAUUCUGUUUAAAUAAGCCAGAUCACUUUUACAUGUGAUGGCCAAGCCAUGCAGGGGAGGAGGUGCUGAGCCUGGUUCUGUUAGUAACUGAGUGGUAGCUGAAGAAGACAAAUCUAACCAGGCAUGGCAAGUCCGUGGAUGCCAUGAGAGCCUGUGCAUUUAGAACUAGGGCACACUAACAGAGAUCAAACUAAGUUUUUCCACUAACAUCAGACCUUUGCAAUUUAAUGAUUAUAAAACUUUCCUAACAUUUGCAAGUUUCUAAACAUUUAUUUUCUUUUAUUCUGUGCAAUUCCUAUUACCAUUGAAAUUAUUUAGGUCACAUAUUUUUGUGUUAUUUAAGUAACACUCAAAGACAAAACCAAGAAAUUCUUUUUCUACUUUUAACCAUCCUGAUUGGAUAGUUUAUAUUUAUAUCAAGUUCUAAUCUCCUAAAAUUUUUAGUGUGUUUAAUAAUGAAUCUUUGAAGAAUAUGAUACACUUGUGUAAUAGCUUUUUCAUAUAAUAAAAUUUUCCAAAGUAAAUAACCUGACAAAUUAAAAAAAACUCAUACAUUAAAUGUAAAGUACUAUUUUGUUAUAAUCAUAGAAUUUAAUAAAUUAAAAGGAUUUUAGAGAAUA
RNAcentral lists this long non-coding RNA (1476 nucleotides) under Homo sapiens (human). RNAcentral's name for it is "testis expressed 41". The record is from RNAcentral. Lineage: Eukaryota; Metazoa; Chordata; Mammalia; Primates; Hominidae.